Molecule: long non-coding RNA, 856 nt
Filed under: Cicer arietinum (chickpea)
Lineage: Eukaryota; Viridiplantae; Streptophyta; Magnoliopsida; Fabales; Fabaceae
Description: long non-coding RNA (CARI_LNC002319)
Source: RNAcentral
CUUCAUCAUUCUCUAAUUCAUCUAUUUCUUGUUCAUCAACUUCUUCUCCAAUGUGUGACUCAUGACAAAGUUGACUAAUAGUCUCAUCUCCAAUCACAUGAUCCAAAUUUGACAUUUCAUCCAUUUGAAAUGCAACUUCUUCAUUUUGACCUACUUCAACUUCUUCGAUUCCACUCGUUGGUCUUGUUUUGAUUGCAGCACACCAACCUUGUUCGCUUCUGACAGUUGAUGGAUAAGGAACAUAAUACGUUUGUCUUACAUUAUGGGCCAGGGCAAAUGGAUCAAACCGUGGAUAUUUUUUGCUCAUACGAAUGUCUAUAGUAUUGGAUAUCAAAUUUAUUUUAGUUCCUCUGCUAGAUGGAUCAAACCACUUACAGUAAAACAAGACCACUUUUUUGCAUAAUCUAGGAACGUGUAGGAAAUUUCGUAAAUAUGCUCAAUUAUGCUAUAGAAAUCUUCUACUACACCACUAUUAGAGACACUUUUCAUACAAACUCCACUAUUAAUUGUUUCUUUUCCUUCAGUCCAAGAUUCAGUGUGAAAUUUGUAUCCAUUGACGUAAUAGGUGUGCCAUUCUUUGAAACUUCUACUCGGGCCCAUAGAUAAGUGCCUUAAGUGGAUGUUGAUAGGAGUUUGUUCUUUCAGAUGCACUUUUUGUUGAAACCAUAAUGGGAAAUUUGAAUGUAUAUCAUCAGAUGAUUUCCCCGUAUUUAAAAAUGCCCUGAUCGAUGACCAUAUAUAUGGUGAAUAUCAAUUUAAUCAUAUAAUUAAAUAUAAUUAAUAUGAAGAGGAAUUUGAAACGUACUCAAUGUAUGCUUUAACUUCAGUGCAGUUAAUCAAAACGUCAACAUGUGCC